This is a non-coding RNA of Lolium perenne, 739 nucleotides long. Lineage: Eukaryota; Viridiplantae; Streptophyta; Magnoliopsida; Poales; Poaceae. The record is from RefSeq and is a predicted model, not a curated record.
UAAUGUGAACCUGAAUGAGACCUCAAUAUAUUUAGCUGUUGUUAUCUCGGAACCAUCUAUAAGUACAUCUUUAAAUAUAUUUCCUAUUUUCGCUGCUUGUAUGUAUUGCAUUUAUUUGCUAAAUAAUUAGUGUCCUCUUUUGCUAGAUUUUUUUUGUUUCGCUUCAUUAAUAAACGAUUUCUCAAGCAAGCCUUGUAUUUUCAGUUCUUUAAAGAGUACUUGCUUGCUUAUUUGUUGACAAAAGGUGGGGAGAGGAACUUGAGCGACUCUUGGCACAUAUAUUAAAGAUUUGUUGCAUACAGUUUUAAGGUUGUUGGGGUUCUAACAAUUUGCAUGCUUCAGGCGAUGCUGAAGCCCAACCACAAGUACAUGACUCACUUGGCUGAGGAGGCAAAAUAUUGGCCAUCAUCAUGUUCUGCGUGUCAAUUCACCGUCCUUAUCCUGCUUAUGGGAGUCUUUCAGUGUGUAGAAAUCCUGUGGACAGUUUGGUGGACGCAAAUAGGAUACACGUAAUGAUUAUAAAUACUCGAAGAUUAUAGCUACUGCAAGCUUGACAGGAAAAAGGGUUGUGAGAAAACUCUGGUGCUCAUCUACUCGCUGACUAAUCACUGAUUUACAUUGAUAUGCUUACUAUAGCAUUUUAGAAAUUAUGAAAGAUGGGUUCAUGCGAGAGAAGCUUUUUUGCCGUCAAACAUGUCUUCGUUCUCCUGAACAAUUACUAAAUAUAUUGUAUUUUGGA